GUCGUGUUUGUAUAUAUAAAAGUGUACUUGUAUCAACUGCGUCCUUGAUGUCAUGUGUGUAUCGGUGUGUAUACCCGUGUUCCAUGAUGUGGUUCCAAGUCCAAUGUGCUCACUGUUGUGUUUGCUUUAAUGUGUUCGGUGAUUUGAUCAUGAGCGUCUAGUUGUCUUAUAAUGAUUUGGUGAAAUUAUGACCUGUUAAGUGGUUAAGAAUGUCCCGUAGCAUGUUAUAAAAACGUUCUUUUUCUCACUCUCUUCGUCGUCAAGCCCUAAGUCUCUUCAUGUCCUAGUCGUUGUUCAUUUCUUGUUGUCGUCCAACAAAAGAAGUCAUUUCCUUGUGGUCGUUCCUUUCCCUUAUCCUCGUCGCACCCCUAACCUCUUCUUCGUCGUCCAACUCCGUUGUUGUCGUUCCCCUACGUUCCUCUUCCUCGUCGUCCUCGCAACUCUCUUCUUCUUCUUCUCGUUGUCGUCCCAAUCCUCUUCUUCUUCUCUUCGUCUCCUUCACCUCUGCUCCCCUCCUCGUCGCCUCUCCCUCUCUCGUCGUCGUCCACCGCGCCCCUUGGUCUGUGGGCAGACCAGCCCGCGCGGUCCGCGCCGCUGCUUCACCUCGCGGGUUCCACUACCGCCGCUUCUGCCUCACCACCGACCUACUACACCACGACCACCCACUUCCGCGACCACCUCGUCGCUUCAGCGCCUCCGCGCGGCGGUGCUACCGGACCGGCGCUGCCGCCGGCUUCCACCCUCUUCUUCACCACUCCCCGUCUCUCUACCUCU
RNAcentral lists this ribosomal RNA (774 nucleotides) under Triticum aestivum (bread wheat). RNAcentral describes it as "partial small subunit ribosomal RNA". The record is from RNAcentral. Lineage: Eukaryota; Viridiplantae; Streptophyta; Magnoliopsida; Poales; Poaceae.